AUACGGAGGAUCCGAGCGUUAUCCGGAUUUAUUGGGUUUAAAGGGUGCGCAGGCGGCCAUUUAAGUCAGCGGUUAAAUCGUGGGGCUCAACCCCAUUCUGCCGUUGAUACUGGGUGGCUUGAUUGCGGUCGAGGUUGGCGGAAUUCGUUGUGUAGCGGUGAAAUGCAUAGAGAUGACGAAGAACACCGAUUGCGUAGGCAGCUGACCAGACCGCAAAUGACGCUCAUGCACGAAAGUGCGGGGAUCGAACAGUAUUAGAUGCCCUGGUAGUCCGCACAGUAAACGAUUAAUACUUGUUUUCGGCGAUAUAAUGUCGGAUGCAAAGCGAAAGCGAUAAGUAUUCCACCUGGGGAGUACGCCGGCAACGGUGAAACUCAAAUGAAUUGGCGGGG
Molecule: ribosomal RNA, 392 nt
Filed under: uncultured bacterium
Lineage: Bacteria
Description: partial 16S ribosomal RNA
Rfam family: Bacterial small subunit ribosomal RNA
Source: RNAcentral